Molecule: ribosomal RNA, 253 nt
Filed under: uncultured bacterium
Lineage: Bacteria
Description: partial 16S ribosomal RNA
Rfam family: Bacterial small subunit ribosomal RNA
Source: RNAcentral
UACGUAGGGGGCAAGCGUUGUCCGGAUUUAUUGGGCGUAAAGAGCGUGUAGGCGGCCAGAUAGGUCGGUUGUGAAAACUGGAGGCUUAACCUUCAGACGUCGACCGAAACCAUCUGGCUAGAGUCCGGAAGAGGAGAAUGGAAUUCCUGGUGUAGCGGUGAAAUGCGCAGAUAUCAGGAAGAACACCCGUGGCUAAGGCGGUUCUCUAGUACGGUACUGACGCUGAGACGCGAAAGCGUGGGGAGCGAACAGG